This 460-nucleotide ribosomal RNA is filed under the name uncultured bacterium. RNAcentral describes it as "partial 16S ribosomal RNA". It matches the Rfam family "Bacterial small subunit ribosomal RNA", at positions 338 to 795 of the family's 1533-position model. The record is from RNAcentral.
CCUACGGGGGGCAGCAGUGAGGAAUAUUGGUCAAUGGGCGCUAGCCUGAACCAGCCAAGCAGCGUGAAGGAUGACUGCCCUAUGAGUUGUAAACUUCUUUUAUACGGGAAUAAAGUGCAGUAUGUAUACUGCUUUGCAUGUACCUUAUGAAUAAGGAUCGGCUAACUCCGUGCCAGCAGCCGCGGUAAUACGGAGGAUCCGAGCGUUAUCCGGCUUUAUUGGGUUUAAAGGGAGCGUAGGCGGGUUGUUAAGUCAGUUGUGAAAUUUUGCGGCUCAACCGUAAAAUUGCAGUUGAUACUGGCAUCCUUGAGUACAGUAGAGGUAGGCGGAAUUCGUGGUGUAGCGGUGAAAUGCUUAGAUAUCACGAAGAACUCCGAUUGCGAAGGCAGCCUACUGGACUGUAACUGACGCUGAUGCUCGAAAGUGUGGGUAUCAAACAGGAUUAGAUACCCGGGUAGUC